This 478-nucleotide ribosomal RNA is filed under the name uncultured bacterium. RNAcentral describes it as "SSU rRNA". It matches the Rfam family "Bacterial small subunit ribosomal RNA", at positions 26 to 518 of the family's 1533-position model. The record is from RNAcentral.
AGGAUAAACGCUGGCGGCGUGCCUAACACAUGCAAGUCGAACGUCCUACGCAAGUAGGGAGUGGCGGACGGGUGAGUAACACGUGGGCAAUCUACCUUUCGGUGAGGAAUACCGGCGAGAAAUCGCCGACAAUACCGCAUACGCUUCGCAAGAAGCAAAGUCGCAAGACGCCGGAGGAGGAGCCUGCGCCCGAUUAGCUGGUUGGUGGAGUAAUGGUCUACCAAGGCGACGAUGGGUAGCUGGUCUGAGAGGACGAUCAGCCACACUGGGACUGAGACACGGCCCAGACUCCUACGGGAGGCAGCAGUAGGGAAUCUUGCGCAAUGCGCGAAAGCGUGACGCAGCAACGCCGCGUGGGGGAAGAAGGCCCUCGGGUUGUAAACCCCUUUCAGUUGGGACGAAGCUUCGUCGGUUAAUAGCCGACUGGAGUGACGGUACCUUCACAAGAAGCACCGGCUAACUACGUGCCAGCAGCCGC